GGUAUUACUCCUGCUUCUCUGUCCCUCUGUAUUGUAAACUAAGAUGGAAAUGGAAAAGAGGGAGGUUUCUCUUAGUUGGACAUGGAUUCCACGUCCAAAGAAUUGUGGAGUGGUCCACUGAGAGUGCUGUAUUGCUAUUAUAGCGCUGAAGUGAAGAUGCCAUACCUCCUAUAAUAUCUUUGUCAGAAAGGCCCUUCUCCAUAUUCCAAAAGAAGUCCUUUCGUCUGCAAAAAUCACAAAAAAAAAAACAUGCAGUCAUGUUCCAGAUUAAUAGAGUUGAAUCACCCCCUUGACAACAUACAACAGAAAUCAAUAUUUAAGGAAUAUUUCCAUCAUCUGCUUGGUUCGAAAUUAGGAACUUCUAUCAGUAAUCUAGCAAGUUAUUCAGACACCUUUCUUUCAGUCUGGGAUAUUUCGAGCAGACUUCGUAGAUUUCUUGUUUCAAGAGAAAGUAGCACGUAAGGCUAAUGAUGAACCAAUAAAUCACCUACAG
RNAcentral lists this long non-coding RNA (493 nucleotides) under Phoenix dactylifera (date palm). RNAcentral describes it as "long non-coding RNA (PDAC_LNC002304)". The record is from RNAcentral. Lineage: Eukaryota; Viridiplantae; Streptophyta; Magnoliopsida; Arecales; Arecaceae.